GUACACGCUGUGACUAGCAUAUCAAUAAGCGGAGGAAAAGAAACUAACAAGGAUUCCCCUAGUAACGGCGAGUGAAGCGGGAAGAGCUCAAAUUUGAAAUCUUAAAGGGUUUCCCUUUACGAAUUGUAGUUUAAAGAAGUGUUUUCUGUUGAGGUUUUGGUAAAAGUUCUUUGGAAUAGGACAUCAUAGAGGGUGAGAAUCCCGUAUUUGACCUUUACUUUCAACUUUGUGAUACACUUUCAAAGAGUCGGAUUGUUUGGGAAUGCAGUCCAAAAUGGGUGGUAAAUUUCAUCUAAAGCUAAAUAUUGGCGAGAGACCGAUAGCGAACAAGUACCGUGAGGGAAAGAUGAAAAGAACUUUGAAAAGAGAGUUAAACAGUACGUGAAAUUGUCAAAAGGGAAGCGUUUGACACCAGUGUUGUUUUUCUGAAAAUCAAUUAAAGAACUGUUUAUGCUAAGCUGUUUAGACUUUAUCAGCUAUCUGUUUAGUUUUGAGCUUUUCUUUAAUGCACUUUUCAGUUAACAAGUCAACAUCAAUUUCUUUUGCUGUAAAAAAGCUUGAGGAAGGUGGCUUGAGAUUCGUCUUAAGUGUUUAUAGCCUCUUGCCUAUGCAGUCGGAGAGAUUGAGGUCUGCAGCGUAGAUCCUUCGGGGCUAAAUGCAUUUGUGCUAAGUUAUAGCAUUUUAUAGACAACUUGUUGACUAUGAUUUGUCUUGUAGCUUACUCGCUUAUGUUAUUUUACCCUACGCUUAGGAUGUUGAAGAUGUAGCACAUCAU
Molecule: ribosomal RNA, 775 nt
Filed under: uncultured Neocallimastigales
Lineage: Eukaryota; Fungi; Neocallimastigomycota; Neocallimastigomycetes; Neocallimastigales
Description: partial large subunit ribosomal RNA
Rfam family: Eukaryotic large subunit ribosomal RNA
Source: RNAcentral